AAUAGACUUAAGGAAUUUGGAAAUUAUAGAGGAUAAAGGAACUUUGGCAUCGUACCCGUCUUACUCAGAUAACAUUUGGCGUCACCUUGCUUUUGAGGACUUUUACUUUAUAGGCAGGAACGAUUAUAGCGAAGAAGAAGGGGAAGAAGUUGAUGUGGGUGCACCAAUUUUAUCUGAAAUCUCUGCUAAGCAAUCUUCAAAUAUUGAGGAAUUAACUGAGGAAUUAUUCCCUUGCGGUGGCCAUCCUUCAAAUUGCAAGAAGCCUUUUUGUUUCAACUGUAGUGCUAUCGCAGUAAAGUCUUGUGGAUUUUAGAAUAUUUUUUAAAAAAAUUGAACUCUUGGGUUUUCGUGAAGCUUUCAACUUAAUCAAAAUCCUACUGCACAGUUUUUAUCUAAAAAGAAUUCAAAGUUAUACUCCAUUCCCGCUUUAAGGAAAAUUGCUUGAAUGAAGCGUUGUAACACUUCAGCGUCUAAACGUAUGAAACUCAAUUAGACGAAGGCCAGUUUUA
Long non-coding RNA from Zophobas morio, 509 nucleotides. RefSeq lists it as uncharacterized. NCBI's taxonomy places the organism in Eukaryota, Metazoa, Arthropoda, Insecta, Coleoptera, Tenebrionidae. The transcript has 3 exons. The record is from RefSeq and is a predicted model, not a curated record.